Molecule: ribosomal RNA, 468 nt
Filed under: uncultured bacterium
Lineage: Bacteria
Description: partial 16S ribosomal RNA
Rfam family: Bacterial small subunit ribosomal RNA
Source: RNAcentral
GACGAACGCUGGCGGCGUGCUUAACACAUGCAAGUCGAACGGAAAGGCCCUGCUUUUGUGGGGUGCUCGAGUGGCGAACGGGUGAGUAACACGUGAGUAACCUGCCCUUGACUUUGGGAUAACUUCAGGAAACUGGGGCUAAUACCGGAUAGGAGCUCCUGCUGCAUGGUGGGGGUUGGAAAGUUUCGGCGGUUGGGGAUGGACUCGCGGCUUAUCAGCUUGGUGGUGGGGUAGUGGCUUACCAAGGCUUUGACGGGUAGCCGGCCUGAGAGGGUGACCGGCGACAUUGGGACUGAGGUAGGGCCCAGUCUCCUACGGGAGGCAACAGGGGGGAGUAUUGCACAAUGGGCGGAAGCCUGAGGCAGCAACGCCGCGUGCGUGAUGACGUCCUUCGGGUUGUAAACCGCUUUCGCCUGUGACGAAGCGGUAGUGACGGUAAUGGAUAAAGAAGCACCGGCUAACUCCGUG